RNAcentral lists this ribosomal RNA (333 nucleotides) under Oxyrrhis marina. RNAcentral describes it as "partial Bacterial large subunit ribosomal RNA". It matches the Rfam family "Bacterial large subunit ribosomal RNA", at positions 202 to 535 of the family's 2925-position model. Lineage: Eukaryota; Dinophyceae; Oxyrrhinales; Oxyrrhinaceae. The record is from RNAcentral.
CUAAGUACCCGGAGGAAGAGAAAACAAUAGUGAUUUCGUUAGUAGCGGCGAGCGAACGCGAAUUAGCCCAAACCAGAUUUGUUACGGCAAAUCUGGGGUUGUAGGACCACGACAUUUGAAACACAACGAAUUAGAAUCCUUUGGAAAGAGGAGCCAUAGACGGUGAUAGCCCGGUAUAAGUAAGGCGUGCGUAGAUAGUGGUAUCCUGAGUAGUGCGGGGCACGUGAAACCCUGUAUGAAUCUGCCGGGACCAUCCGGUAAGGCUAAAUACUCCUGAGAGACCGAUAGUGAACAAGUACCGUGAGGGAAAGGUGAAAAGCACCCCGAUGAGGG